This 202-nucleotide long non-coding RNA is filed under the name Ananas comosus (pineapple). RNAcentral's name for it is "long non-coding RNA (ACOM_LNC023393)". The record is from RNAcentral. Lineage: Eukaryota; Viridiplantae; Streptophyta; Magnoliopsida; Poales; Bromeliaceae.
UUUUUGGUUCAUAUAUCAACUUUCUUUUGUUGAUUAGAAUUGUAAAGUUAUAAACAGUCAUGUAUUUCGAGAGAAUGAUUAAGAUGUAAAAGAAUUUAUGAAUGAAUGGAAAAAGAAUGUAAUAGUUGUAAUUUAUUUGUAUUUGGUUAAAAUGUAAUCAAAUAUUAUGAAUGGUUGUAUGUUUUAGUAUAGAGCUUUCGCU